RNAcentral lists this ribosomal RNA (446 nucleotides) under uncultured bacterium. Its description in RNAcentral is "partial 16S ribosomal RNA". It matches the Rfam family "Bacterial small subunit ribosomal RNA", at positions 338 to 795 of the family's 1533-position model. The record is from RNAcentral.
CCUACGGGAGGCAGCAGUCGAGAAUCAUUCACAAUGGGGGAAACCCUGAUGGUGCGACGCCGCGUGGGGGAAUGAAGGUCUUCGGAUUGUAAACUCCUGUCAUGUGGGAGCAAAUUAAAACGAUAGUACAACAAGAGGAAGAGACGGCUAACUCUGUGCCAGCAGCCGCGGUAAUACCGAGGUCUCAAGCGUUGUUCGGAAUCACUGGGCGUAAAGCGUGCGGAGGCUGUUUCGUAAGUCUGGUGUGAAAGGCGCGGGCUCAACCCGCGGACGGCACAUGAUACUGCGAGACUAGAGUAAUGGAGGGGGAAGCGGAAUUCUCGGUGUAGCAGUGAAAUGCGUAGAUAUCGGGAGGAACACUCGUGGCGAAGGCGGGUUCCUGGACAUUAACUGACGCUGAGGCACGAAGGCCAGGGGAGCGAAAGGGAUUAGAUACCCUGGUAGUC